RNAcentral lists this unclassified non-coding RNA (252 nucleotides) under Noticastrum marginatum. RNAcentral describes it as "partial external transcribed spacer". The record is from RNAcentral. Lineage: Eukaryota; Viridiplantae; Streptophyta; Magnoliopsida; Asterales; Asteraceae.
UCGAUGUAUGGCUUGUGUGGGACGAGAGACACAACGUGGAACCGUAAUAGGAUCUGCAAGGGUUUCUCAAACCAUCCAAAUCAUACAUCGGUUGUAAGAGCAUUCCAACCAAAAUUGUUGUAUGGCUAGGAUGUGGGCGAGAGGCACAACGUGAAUCCGUAAUAGGCCAUGGCGGGUGUCUUUUUAAGCAACCAAACCAUACAACAAUUGGGGUGGGUUCUUGUGGCGGGUUUCGUUCUCUUCGUAUCGUGC